GCUGUCCUGGAACUUGCUGGCCUCUGUUUCCCAAGUGCUGGGAUUAAAAGGCUAAAGAUGUGCACCCUACAGCCCCAGCUAUGGGGAGCACUCUUAAGGAGCACUCUUCAAGAAUAUACUUCAGUACUAGCGGGAGGCUAGGGAACACCACCUCGGUCCCUGCCGGGCUACGGGAGUUUUUGGCAUCACCCUCCUGCCCCUGCUGGAUCAGAAUAGUGUGUCACUCAAGCAGGAACGUGCUCCCAGUCCUGGGCUUGUGCACCCAAGACCACAGUGUCCAGUGUCCAGCAGCUCCUACCCAUCUCCAUCCUUCAGUCCUUCAGGUUCCAGGGGUCCGGAGUUGAUGCAGAGAUUCCAGGCAGCAAACAGAACACCUCAGGAGUCAGGUGGGACCAGUGUCAGGUAGAGGUCUGGACUCCCACAGCAGCUGUGAGAAGGUCGGAGGACUUGGGAGCACUGUGUCUCUAGUUACUGUUUAUGUAAGUAAAAUCCCCGCCGCCCAAGCCUGAGCUUGGUUCCUAGAACUAGAACUCGUGGUGGAAAGAGAAAGCCCUCUAACCUCCACAGAGGCGCAGUGACAAGCCUGCCUCCAUCCCACAGAAAUGUAUCACUGGUGGUGGUGGCAGCACACAGAAACAACCGGAAUUUCCAUGUGGUCCGCUUUCAGACACUUUCUUUGAUCUUUCCCUUUUUAGCUGUUAUAUGUUUGGUUGUUCAGACACGAUUUUCUUUAAUCUUUUAAAUAUAUUGAA
Long non-coding RNA from Mus musculus (house mouse), 752 nucleotides. RefSeq annotates it as predicted gene, 52793. The transcript is spliced from 3 exons. The record is from RefSeq and is a predicted model, not a curated record. NCBI's taxonomy places the organism in Eukaryota, Metazoa, Chordata, Mammalia, Rodentia, Muridae.